RNAcentral lists this transfer RNA (71 nucleotides) under Candidatus Kerfeldbacteria bacterium RIFCSPHIGHO2_02_FULL_42_14. RNAcentral describes it as "tRNA-Gln". It matches the Rfam family "tRNA". From Rfam's summary of the family: Transfer RNA (tRNA) molecules are approximately 80 nucleotides in length. Their secondary structure includes four short double-helical elements and three loops (D, anti-codon, and T loops). Further hydrogen bonds mediate the characteristic L-shaped molecular structure. tRNAs have two regions of fundamental functional importance: the anti-codon, which is responsible for specific mRNA codon recognition, and the 3' end, to which the tRNAs corresponding amino acid is attached (by aminoacyl-tRNA synthetases). tRNAs cope with the degeneracy of the genetic code in two manners: having more than one tRNA (with a specific anti-codon) for a particular amino acid; and 'wobble' base-pairing, i.e. permitting non-standard base-pairing at the 3rd anti-codon position. The record is from RNAcentral. Lineage: Bacteria; Candidatus Kerfeldiibacteriota. RNAcentral also lists the same sequence under 3 other names.
UCGGGGAUCGUCUAACGGUAGGACUACGGACUCUGGAUCCGCCGGUCUAGGUUCGAAUCCUAGUCCCCGAG